RNAcentral lists this ribosomal RNA (253 nucleotides) under uncultured bacterium. Its description in RNAcentral is "partial 16S ribosomal RNA". It matches the Rfam family "Bacterial small subunit ribosomal RNA", at positions 524 to 776 of the family's 1533-position model. The record is from RNAcentral.
UACGUAGGGUGCAAGCGUUAAUCGGAAUUACUGGGCGUAAAGCGUGCGCAGGCGGCUUUGCAAGACAGAUGUGAAAUCCCCGGGCUUAACCUGGGAACUGCAUUUGUGACUGCAUAGCUAGAGUACGGUAGAGGGGGAUGGAAUUCCGCGUGUAGCAGUGAAAUGCGUAGAUAUCGGGAGGAACACCAGUGGCGAAGGCGACUACCUGGCCUGUUCUUGACGCUGAGGCGCGAAAGCUAGGGGAGCAAACGGG